RNAcentral lists this ribosomal RNA (443 nucleotides) under uncultured bacterium. Its description in RNAcentral is "partial 16S ribosomal RNA". It matches the Rfam family "Bacterial small subunit ribosomal RNA", at positions 338 to 795 of the family's 1533-position model. The record is from RNAcentral.
CCUACGGGAGGCAGCAGUGGGGAAUAUUGGGCAAUGGGCGCAAGCCUGACCCAGCAACGCCGCGUGAAGGAAGAAGGCUUUCGGGUUGUAAACUUCUUUUCUCAGGGACGAAGAAAGUGACGGUACCUGAGGAAUAAGCCACGGCUAACUACGUGCCAGCAGCCGCGGUAAUACGUAGGGAGCGAGCGUUGUCCGGAUUUACUGGGUGUAAAGGGUGCGCAGGCGGCUCUGCAAGUCAGGCGUGAAAGCUAGGGGCUCAACCCCUAAAUUGCGCUUGAAACUGUGGAGCUUGAGUGAAGUAGAGGCAGGCGGAAUUCCCGGUGUAGCGGUGAAAUGCGGAGAGAUCGGGAGGAACACCAGUGGCGAAGGCGGCCUGCUGGGCUUUAACUGACGCUCAGGCACGAAAGCAUGGGUAGCAAACAGGAUUAGAUACCCGGGUAGUC